Molecule: long non-coding RNA, 432 nt
Organism: Podarcis raffonei (Aeolian wall lizard)
Lineage: Eukaryota; Metazoa; Chordata; Lepidosauria; Squamata; Lacertidae
Exons: 2
Source: RefSeq, a predicted model, not a curated record
UCAGUUUCCAGUGCCAUCCAAGUCUGGAAACUGGUUUAAGGGCUACCUACAAAUCAGGAUCUGAUUGUACCUGAGUGGCCUAUUAUAUUGGAACCAGAGCUGAAAUAAUAUGGCCCUUUCCAAUAAUAAUAUGGCCCUUCCCAAUUGAGAAAAUUCCAAAUUGAAAUCCCUAUGGACAGUGGGAGGUAUUUUAACCAAUAAGUCCCAUCAGCAGAAGCCCUCACAAAGACUUCUGCCAGUGCAUCAUGUAUUUCUCUCUGGUCUCCCCAAAAUGAUUUUGUGUGGGUUUGGAAGAACCUCCCAGAACAGCAUACAGGUUAAAAACCCAAAUGUAAUCUCCUGAAUCCCCACAGGAAGAGCUAAAAUGGAGGCCACCAAAGGGCUGAAAUUAGCUUAAGCACCAGUGGUGGUAUGAAAACUUAAGAGCAAAAA